This 537-nucleotide ribosomal RNA is filed under the name Limnocnida tanganjicae. RNAcentral's name for it is "partial 16S ribosomal RNA". It matches the Rfam family "Bacterial large subunit ribosomal RNA", at positions 1835 to 2532 of the family's 2925-position model. The record is from RNAcentral. Lineage: Eukaryota; Metazoa; Cnidaria; Hydrozoa; Limnomedusae; Olindiidae.
CUUGGAUUAUCUCAAAGGUGCAGCCUGCCCUAUGGUCUUCUCUCGUUUUGUAAUUAAAACUCGAACCCAGACUAAAUGGCCGCGGUAACUCUGACCGUGAUAAUGUAGCGAAAUCAAUCGUCGUUUAAUUGGCGACCCGUAUGAAAGGUUAAACGAAUUUCCCCCUGUCUCGAAAAUAAAAUCGUCGAAAUUGUAUAGGUAGUGAAGAUACUACCGUCGAAUGGCUAGACGAAAAGACCCUAUAGAGCUUAACUAUGACCUUCGUUCGUGAUUAUUUAUCAUCGAUAGAUACGAACGAAGGCGGGUAGUUUGGUUGGGGCGACCUUCUUCUAUAAAAAACGAAGAUAAACAAAGGCAUCUUAUUUUUACUGGCUUAAUUGUUUAAUUCAUAAAUUUAACAAAUACUAACGUAGGUAACAGUGACCCGUUUCUAUUAAAAAAUAAAGGAAACGAUCAAUAAAUAAAAGCUACCUUAGGGAUAACAGCGUAAUCUUGUUCAAGAGUCCUCAUCGACAACAAGGUUUGCGACCUCGAUGU